GGUUCUCCCCGAAAGCUAUUUAGGUAGCGCCUCGUGAAUUCAUCUCCGGGGGUAGAGCACUGUUUCGGCUAGGGGGCCAUCCCGGCUUACCAACCCGAUGCAAACUGCGAAUACCGGAGAAUGUUAUCACGGGAGACACACGGCGGGUGCUAACGUCCGUCGUGAAGAGGGAAACAACCCAGACCGCCAGCUAAGGUCCCAAAGUCAUGGUUAAGUGGGAAACGAUGUGGGAAGGCCCAGACAGCCAGGAUGUUGGCUUAGAAGCAGCCAUCAUUUAAAGAAAGCGUAAUAGCUCACUGGUCGAGUCGGCCUGCGCGGAAGAUGUAACGGGGCUAAACCAUGCACCGAAGCUGCGGCAGCGACGCUGAUGCGUUGUUGGGUAGGGGAGCGUUCUGUAAGCCUGCGAAGGUGGCCUGUGAGGGUUGCUGGAGGUAUCAGAAGUGCGAAUGCUGACAUAAGUAACGAUAAAGCGGGUGAAAAGCCCGCUCGCCGGAAGACCAAGGGUUCCUGUCCAACGUUAAUCGGGGCAGGGUGAGUCGACCCCUAAGGCGAGGCCGAAAGGCGUAGUCGAUGGGAAACGGGUUAAUAUUCCCGUACUUGGUGUUACUGCGAAGGGGGGACGGAGAAGGCUAUGUUGGCCGGGCGACGGUU
This 651-nucleotide ribosomal RNA is filed under the name Salmonella enterica. RNAcentral describes it as "partial 23S ribosomal RNA". It matches the Rfam family "Bacterial large subunit ribosomal RNA", at positions 851 to 1503 of the family's 2925-position model. RNAcentral also lists the same sequence under 1 other name. The record is from RNAcentral. Lineage: Bacteria; Pseudomonadati; Pseudomonadota; Gammaproteobacteria; Enterobacterales; Enterobacteriaceae.